RNAcentral lists this ribosomal RNA (575 nucleotides) under Flavobacterium sp. RNAcentral's name for it is "partial 16S ribosomal RNA". It matches the Rfam family "Bacterial small subunit ribosomal RNA", at positions 835 to 1412 of the family's 1533-position model. The record is from RNAcentral. RNAcentral also lists the same sequence under 1 other name. Lineage: Bacteria; Pseudomonadati; Bacteroidota; Flavobacteriia; Flavobacteriales; Flavobacteriaceae.
CAAGUUCAGUGCNUAAGCGAAAGUGAUAAGUAUCCCACCUGGNGAGUACGAANNCAAGUUUGAAACUCAAAGGAAUNGACGGGGGCCCGCACAAGCGGUGGAGCAUGUGGUUUAAUUNGNUNAUACGCGAGGAACCUUCCCNANNNUUAAANNCAGACUGACCGAUUUGGAAACAGAUCUUUCGCAAGACAGUUUACAAGGUGNUGCAUGGUUGUCGUCAGCUCGUGCCGUGAGGUGUCAGGUUAAGUCCUAUAACGAGCGCAACCCCCGUUGUUAGUUGCCAGCGAGUCAUGUCGGGAACUCUAACAAGACUUCCAGUGCAAACUGUGAGGAAGGUGGGGAUGACGUCAAAUCAUCUCGGCCCUUUCGCCUUGGGCUACACACGUGCUACAAUGGCCGGUACAGAGAGCAGCCACUGGGUGUCCAGGAGCGAAUCUAUAAAGCCGGUCACAGUUUGGAUCGGAGUCUGCAACUAGAUUCCGUGAAGCUGGAAUCGCUAGUAAUCGGAUAUCAGCCAUGAUCCGGUGAAUACGUUCCCGGCCCUUGUACACACCUCCCGUCAAUCCAUGGCAGCU